RNAcentral lists this ribosomal RNA (232 nucleotides) under uncultured bacterium. RNAcentral's name for it is "partial 16S ribosomal RNA". It matches the Rfam family "Bacterial small subunit ribosomal RNA", at positions 99 to 334 of the family's 1533-position model. The record is from RNAcentral.
CGGACGGGUGAGUAAUGUAUGGGGAUCUGCCUGAUGGCGGGGGGUAACUACUGGAAACGGUAGCUAAUACCGCAUAAUGUCUGCGGACCAAAGCGGGGGACCUCCGGGCCUCGCGCCAUCAGAUGAACCCAUAUGGGAUUAGCUAGUAGGUAAGGUAACGGCUUACCUAGGCGACGAUCCCUAGCUGGUCUGAGAGGAUGAUCAGCCACACUGGGACUGAGACACGGCCCAG